RNAcentral lists this ribosomal RNA (728 nucleotides) under uncultured cyanobacterium. RNAcentral describes it as "bacterial SSU rRNA". It matches the Rfam family "Bacterial small subunit ribosomal RNA", at positions 583 to 1310 of the family's 1533-position model. Lineage: Bacteria; Bacillati; Cyanobacteriota. The record is from RNAcentral.
UCAAGUCUGCUGUUAAAGGCUGGAGCUUAACUCCGGUAGAGCAGUGGAAACUGGUGUGCUAGAGGGCGACAGGGGUAGAGGGAAUUCCCAGUGUAGCGGUGAAAUGCGUAGAGAUUGGGAAGAACACCGGUGGCGAAAGCGCUCUACUGGGUCGCACCUGACCCUCAGGGACGAAAGCUAAGGUAGCGAAAGGGAUUAGAUACCCCUGUAGUCUUAGCCGUAAACGAUGGAUACUAGGCGUGGUUUGUAUCGACCCAAGCCGUGCCGAAGCUAACGCGUUAAGUAUCCCGCCUGGGGAGUACGCACGCAAGUGUGAAACUCAAAGGAAUUGACGGGGGCCCGCACAAGCGGUGGAGGAUGUGGUUUAAUUCGAUGCAACGCGAAGAACCUUACCAGGGCUUGACAUCCCGCGAAUCCCCAUGAAAGUGGGGAGUGCCUUCGGGAGCGCGGAGACAGGUGGUGCAUGGCUGUCGUCAGCUCGUGUCGUGAGAUGUUGGGUUAAGUCCCGCAACGAGCGCAACCCUCGUCCUUAGUUGCCAGCAUUAAGUUGGGCACUCUAGGGAGACUGCCGGUGAUAAACCGGAGGAAGGUGAGGAUGACGUCAAGUCAGCAUGCCCCUUAUGCUCUGGGCAACACACGUCCUACAAUGGUCGGGACAAAGGGGAGCGAGCUCGCGAGAGUCAGCGAAUCCCAGCAAACUCGGCCUCAGUUCAGAUGGCAGGCUGCAA